RNAcentral lists this ribosomal RNA (872 nucleotides) under uncultured bacterium. RNAcentral describes it as "bacterial SSU rRNA". It matches the Rfam family "Bacterial small subunit ribosomal RNA", at positions 1 to 867 of the family's 1533-position model. The record is from RNAcentral.
GGCUUAGAGUUUGAUCAUGGCUCAGGAUGAACGCUAGCUACAGGCCUAACACAUGCAAGUCGAGGGGCAGCAUGGGCUUAGCUUGCUAAGCCUGAUGGCGACCGGCGCACGGGUGAGUAACGCGUAUCCGACCUUCCGGCGGCCCGGGUCCAGCCUUUCGAAAGAAAGAUUAAUCCCCGAUGGUGUCAGGCAGUUCCAUGACAGCCUGACUAAAGAGUUAUCGGCCGCCGAUGGGGAUGCGUUCCAUUAGCUUGUUGGCGGGGUAACGGCCCACCAAGGCGACGAUGGAUAGGGGUUCUGAGAGGAAGGUCCCCCACAUUGGGACUGAGACACGGCCCAAACUCCUACGGGAGGCAGCAGUGAGGAAUAUUGGUCAAUGGGCGCGAGCCUGAACCAGCCAAGUAGCGUGGAGGAUGACUGCCCUACGGGUUGUAAACUCCUUUUGCAGGGGGAUAAAGUGUGCCACGUGUGGCAUAUUGCAGGUACCCUGCGAAUAAGCAUCGGCUAACUCCGUGCCAGCAGCCGCGGUAAUACGGAGGAUGCGAGCGUUAUCCGGAUUUAUUGGGUUUAAAGGGAGCGCAGACGGCCCCUUAAGUCAGCUGUGAAAGUUUGCGGCUCAACCGUAAAAUUGCAGUUGAAACUGUGGGGCUUGAGUACGGUCGCGGCAUGCGGAAUUCGUGGUGUAGCGGUGAAAUGCAUAGAUAUCACGAAGAACCCCGAUUGCGAAAGCAGCAUGCCAGCCCGCCACUGACGUUGAGGCUCGAAAGUGCGGGUAUCAAACAGGAUUAGAUACCCUGGUAGUCCGCACGGUAAACGAUGGACACCCCGCUGUCGGCGAUAUACAGUCGCGGCCAAGCGAAAGCGUUAAGUGU